UUUUGGACAAUGGGCGCAAGCCUGAUCCAGCCAUGCCGCGUGCAGGAUGAAGGCCUUCGGGUUGUAAACUGCUUUUGUACGGAACGAAAAGACUCUUUCUAAUAAAGAGGGUCCAUGACGGUACCGUAAGAAUAAGCACCGGCUAACUACGUGCCAGCAGCCGCGGUAAUACGUAGGGUGCGAGCGUUAAUCGGAAUUACUGGGCGUAAAGCGUGCGCAGGCGGUGAUGUAAGACAGAUGUGAAAUCCCCGGGCUCAACCUGGGAACUGCAUUUGUGACUGCAUCGCUGGAGUGCGGCAGAGGGGGAUGGAAUUCCGCGUGUAGCAGUGAAAUGCGUAGAUAUGCGGAGGAACACCGAUGGCGAAGGCAAUCCCCUGGGCCUGCACUGACGCUCAUGCACGAAAGCGUGGGGAGCAAACAGG
RNAcentral lists this ribosomal RNA (422 nucleotides) under uncultured bacterium. Its description in RNAcentral is "bacterial SSU rRNA". It matches the Rfam family "Bacterial small subunit ribosomal RNA", at positions 362 to 776 of the family's 1533-position model. The record is from RNAcentral.